Molecule: ribosomal RNA, 557 nt
Filed under: Hylomyscus kaimosae
Lineage: Eukaryota; Metazoa; Chordata; Mammalia; Rodentia; Muridae
Description: partial 16S ribosomal RNA
Rfam family: Bacterial large subunit ribosomal RNA
Source: RNAcentral
CACCUCUAGCAUUUCAAGUAUUAGAGGCAUUGCCUGCCCAGUGACUAUAGUUAAACGGCCGCGGUAUCCUGACCGUGCAAAGGUAGCAUAAUCAUUUGUUCCUUAAUUAGGGACUAGAAUGAACGGCUAGACGAGGGUUCAACUGUCUCUUAUUUUUAAUCAGUGAAAUUGACCCUCCAGUGAAGAGGCUGGAAUAUAAUAAUAAGACGAGAAGACCCUAUGGAGCUUAAAUUAAAAAGCUUAAUUACUGUUUCACUACCCUAAAUGGCAUAAGAUAAAAAAUUAUAAGCUUAAAAUUUUGGUUGGGGUGACCUCGGAGAAUAAAAAAUCCUCCGAACGAUAAAUAACCUAGACUCACAAGUCAAAGUAGCCUAACUAUCUAAUUGACCCAAAAAUUGAUCAACGGACCAAGUUACCCUAGGGAUAACAGCGCAAUCCUAUUUAAGAGUUCAUAUCGACAAUAGGGUUUACGACCUCGAUGUUGGAUCAGGACAUCCCAAUGGUGCAGAAGCUAUUAAUGGUUCGUUUGUUCAACGAUUAAAGUCCUACGUGAUCUA